RNAcentral lists this non-coding RNA (30 nucleotides) under Homo sapiens (human). The record is from RNAcentral. Lineage: Eukaryota; Metazoa; Chordata; Mammalia; Primates; Hominidae.
UCACUCACCUCAUUGGUUACAGAUCUUGGA